RNAcentral lists this ribosomal RNA (256 nucleotides) under uncultured bacterium. Its description in RNAcentral is "partial 16S ribosomal RNA". It matches the Rfam family "Bacterial small subunit ribosomal RNA", at positions 524 to 776 of the family's 1533-position model. The record is from RNAcentral.
UACGUAGGGUGCGAGCGUUUGUCCGGAAUUACUGGGCGUAAAGAGCUCGUAGGUGGUUUGUCGCGUUGUCCGUGAAAACUCACAACUCAAUUGUGGGCGUGCGGGCGAUACGGGCAGACUGGAGUACUGCAGGGGGAGACUGGAAUUCCUGGUGUAGCGGUGGAAUGCGCAGAUAUCAGGAGGAACACCGGUGGCGAAGGCGGGUCUCUGGGGCAGUAACUGACGCUGAGGAGCGAAAGCGUGGGGAGCGAACAGG